AUUGAACGCUGGCGGCAGGCCUAACACAUGCAAGUCGAACGGUAACAGGAAGAAGCUUGCUUCUUUGCUGACGAGUGGCGGACGGGUGAGUAAUGUCUGGGAAACUGCCUGAUGGAGGGGGAUCACUACUGGAAACGGUAGCUAAUACCGCAUAACGUCGCAAGACCACAGAGGGGGACCUUCGGGCCUCUUGCCAUCGGCUGUGCCCAGAUGGGAUUAGCUAGUAGGUGGGGUAACGGCUCACCUAGGCGACGAUCCCUAGCUGGUCUGAGAGGAUGACCAGCCACACUGGAACUGAGACACGGUCCAGACUCCUACGGGAGGCAGCAGUGGGGAAUAUUGCACAAUGGGCGCAAGCCUGAUGCAGCCAUGCCGCGUGUAUGAAGAAGGCCUUCGGGUUGUAAAGUACUGUCAGCGGGGAGGAAGGGAGUAAAGUUAAUACCUUUGCUCAUUGACGUUACCCGCAGAAGAAGCACCGGCUAACUCCGUG
Molecule: ribosomal RNA, 490 nt
Filed under: uncultured bacterium
Lineage: Bacteria
Description: partial 16S ribosomal RNA
Rfam family: Bacterial small subunit ribosomal RNA
Source: RNAcentral